AUUACCUGGGGCCGUAAAGCGCCAUGCCAGGUGGUUUGUUAAGUCCAGAUGUGAAAGCCCGGGGCUCAACCUCCGGAGUUGCAUUUGAAACUGGCAGGCUAGAGUACUGUAGACGGGGGGUAGAAUUUCCAGGUGUAGCGGUGAAAUGCGUAGAGAUCUGAAGGAAUACCGGUGGCGAAGGCGGCCCCCUGGACAGAUACUGACACUCAGAUGCGAAAGCGUGGGGAGCAAACAGGAUUAGAUACCCUGGUAGUCCACGCUGUAAACGAUGUCUACUUGGAGGUUGUGGCCUUGAGCCGUGGCUUUCGGAGCUAACGCGUUAAGUAGACCGCCUGGGGAGUACGGUCGCAAGAUUAAAACUCAAAUGAAUUGACGGGGGCCCGCACAAGCGGUGGAGCAUGUGGUUUAAUUCGAUGCAACGCGAAGAACCUUACCUACUCUUGACAUCCAGAGAAUCCUGCGGAGACGCGGGAGUGCCUUCGGGAACUCUGAGACAGGUGCUGCAUGGCUGUCGUCAGCUCGUGUUGUGAAAUGUUGGGUUAAGUCCCGCAACGAGCGCAACCCUUAUCCUUGUUUGCCAGCGAGUAAUGUCGGGAACUCCAGGGAGACUGCCGGUGAUAAACCGGAGGAAGGUGGGGACGACGUCAAGUCAUCAUGGCCCUUACGAGUAGGGCUACACACGUGCUACAAUGGCGCAUACAGAGGGCGGCGAGCUAGCGAUAGUGAGCGAAUCCCAAAAAGUGCGUCGUAGUCCGGAUUGGAGUCUGCAACUCGACUCCAUGAAGUCGGAAUCGCUAGUAAUCGUGGAUCAGAAUGCCACGGUGAAUACGUUCCCGGGCCUUGUACACACCGCCCGUCACACCAUGGGAGUGGGCUGCAAAAGAAGCAGGUAGUUUAACCUUCGGGAGGACGCCUUCCCACUUUGUGUUCAACCG
RNAcentral lists this ribosomal RNA (935 nucleotides) under Vibrio metschnikovii. RNAcentral's name for it is "bacterial SSU rRNA". It matches the Rfam family "Bacterial small subunit ribosomal RNA", at positions 547 to 1474 of the family's 1533-position model. The record is from RNAcentral. Lineage: Bacteria; Pseudomonadati; Pseudomonadota; Gammaproteobacteria; Vibrionales; Vibrionaceae.